This 79-nucleotide antisense RNA is filed under the name Candidatus Enterococcus dunnyi. RNAcentral's name for it is "Enterococcus sp. 9D6_DIV0238 Enterococcus sRNA 84". It matches the Rfam family "Enterococcus sRNA 84". From Rfam's summary of the family: Name 'Ref' stands for RNA in E. faecalis. The record is from Rfam by way of RNAcentral. Lineage: Bacteria; Bacillati; Bacillota; Bacilli; Lactobacillales; Enterococcaceae.
UCCUAACAACAAACUUUUUUUCAUUUACUCUCAUGAGUAAAACUCCUUUCUCAUCUUCUAAUUGAAGGUGAGAUUUUUU